CCCUUAGAUGUUCUGGGCCGCACGCGCGCUACAAUGGUCUUCGCAAACGGAUGCAUUCUCGAAGGAGAAUGCCAAUCUUGGAAUCUAUGCCUUGGUCGGGACAGUUGCUUGCAAUUUUUCGACUCGAACCAGGAAUUCCUUGUAAUCGUGAUUCAUCACAUCACGAUGAAUACGUCCCUGCCCGUUGUACACACCGCCCGUCGCUCCUACCGAUCGAAGAGUUAGGUGAAUUGUUUUGAUCGAUAAGAUUUGACUAUGGUCAACUCUCGUUGUGAAAUUCUGUGAAGCUGACUGUUUAGAGGAAGGAAAAGUCGUAACA
This 319-nucleotide ribosomal RNA is filed under the name uncultured eukaryote. Its description in RNAcentral is "partial 18S ribosomal RNA". It matches the Rfam family "Eukaryotic small subunit ribosomal RNA", at positions 1470 to 1796 of the family's 1831-position model. The record is from RNAcentral.